Mangifera indica (mango) is the source of this 1169-nucleotide RNA transcript. It is a transcript of the gene named CASP-like protein 5B3, with no coding region annotated. The record is from RefSeq and is a predicted model, not a curated record. NCBI's taxonomy places the organism in Eukaryota, Viridiplantae, Streptophyta, Magnoliopsida, Sapindales, Anacardiaceae. The transcript is spliced from 4 exons.
CUUGCUUGUUCAACUUUCUAACAUAAUGGAAAACUAGUUAUGAGCAUUUGUGAGAGAGGCGCGUGGAGUGGGUGUUGGUUUUCCUGUAAAUUACGACAUAGUCUAGGAAGUCGUUUAGAGCAGCCGCAGACAGCAAGUAAACGGCUUUUAUGACAUUUCGUAACAGUGUCAAAUAACACUUUUACUAACCAUAUUUAGUAUUGUUCCCAUAAUUAUGUCCUUUCCUCUUCCCGCUUACAUAUCUUCAUCUAAUUUCUAACCAAUUUUUCCUUUUCAGUUUCCUCUUAACUGAUUUUACUUUGCUGAUCCAUCAGGAGUUGCAAUUUUUUUUUUUUUUGUGGGAAUUUGUUUUGAAGGUUAAAGAUGAAGGAUUUUGCAGGGACACCGGGGACUUUGACUGGGCUAUUUCUAAGGAUUGCACAGUGUGUUUUUGCAGCUGGAUCAAUUGCUUCUAUGGCUACCACUGCCGCUUUCGUCAAUUCCACAGCUUUCUGGGUCAUGAAGGACAAUUUGCUUGAGCAUUGUCACCAUCAUUUUUAAUGUUCUUACGAACUAGUAGCAACAUUAGAAAGAUGGACUCUAGACUACGAAGCCAAACUGGUGAAGAUAGACAAUUUUUAGAAGCAAAGCAAUUUCAAUGAAGCACUAUCAAUUGACAAAUAAGACAAUAUCUGCAUUCUUGUUUGGACUUCAAUUGUUGAUAUAGCAGAGGAAUACAUUUGCAAAAAUGAUUCAGACUUCAUACCGUUUUAUGUGGACUGUCUGUAGCUGAAGCUACCUAAUUUCUUCAAUGGGUUUGCAAAUUAUCUGGAGCUUUGGGCUCGCCUUCAUUGAUGCAUAUGCCUUAAUAAGAAAGAAGGUCCUUCAUAAUCAUCUUAUAGUCAGCCUCUUUGUUGUAGGAGACUGGGUGACUGCUACAUUAUCUCUUGCUGCUGCUUCUGCUGCAGGCGGCGUCACGGUGCUAUAUUUUAAUGAUUUGGGACACUGCAGUUUUACGGAGGAAUGUCAAAAAUAUCAAAUGUCAGUUGCCUUGGCCUUCCUCAGCUGGAUUACAAUUGCAAUAUCAUCUCUAAUAAUGCUUUGGCUGUUAGCUGCAGGUUAGGCCUUUCCAUGUACAGCCUGUUGAUAUCUCAAAUCUCUUUGAAACUGAUCAGUCAAUCUUACGGAAA